UACGGAGGGGGCUAGCGUUGUUCGGAAUUACUGGGCGUAAAGCGCACGUAGGCGCUCUGCAAGUUAGAGGUGAAAGCCCGGGGCUCAACUCCGGAAUUGCCUUUAAAACUGCAUCGCUAGAAUUGUGGAGAGGUAAGUGGAAUUCCGAGUGUAGAGGUGAAAUUCGUAGAUAUUCGGAAGAACACCAGUGGCGAAGGCGACUUACUGGACACAUAUUGACGCUGAGGUGCGAAAGCGUGGGGAGCAAACAGG
This 252-nucleotide ribosomal RNA is filed under the name uncultured bacterium. RNAcentral's name for it is "partial 16S ribosomal RNA". It matches the Rfam family "Bacterial small subunit ribosomal RNA", at positions 524 to 776 of the family's 1533-position model. The record is from RNAcentral.